CCUAACACAUGCAAGUCGAACGGUAACAGGAAGCAGCUUGCUGCUUCGCUGACGAGUGGCGGACGGGUGAGUAAUGUCUGGGAAACUGCCUGAUGGAGGGGGAUAACUACUGGAAACGGUAGCUAAUACCGCAUAACGUCGCAAGACCAAAGAGGGGGACCUUCGGGCCUCUUGCCAUCGGAUGUGCCCAGAUGGGAUUAGCUAGUAGGUGGGGUAACGGCUCACCUAGGCGACGAUCCCUAGCUGGUCUGAGAGGAUGACCAGCCACACUGGAACUGAGACACGGUCCAGACUCCUACGGGAGGCAGCAGUGGGGAAUAUUGCACAAUGGGCGCAAGCCUGAUGCAGCCAUGCCGCGUGUAUGAAGAAGGCCUUCGGGUUGUAAAGUACUUUCAGCGGGGAGGAAGGCGAUAAGGUUAAUAACCUUGUCGAUUGACGUUACCCGCAGAAGAAGCACCGGCUAACUCCGUGCCAGCAGCCGCGGUAAUACGGAGGGUGCAAGCGUUAAUCGGAAUUACUGGGCGUAAAGCGCACGCAGGCGGUCUGUCAAGUCGGAUGUGAAAUCCCCGGGCUCAACCUGGGAACUGCAUUCGAAACUGGCAGGCUAGAGUCUUGUAGAGGGGGGUAGAAUUCCAGGUGUAGCGGUGAAAUGCGUAGAGAUCUGGAGGAAUACCGGUGGCGAAGGCGGCCCCCUGGACAAAGACUGACGCUCAG
This 714-nucleotide ribosomal RNA is filed under the name Enterobacter hormaechei. RNAcentral describes it as "bacterial SSU rRNA". It matches the Rfam family "Bacterial small subunit ribosomal RNA", at positions 47 to 750 of the family's 1533-position model. Lineage: Bacteria; Pseudomonadati; Pseudomonadota; Gammaproteobacteria; Enterobacterales; Enterobacteriaceae. The record is from RNAcentral.